Haliotis rubra (blacklip abalone) is the source of this 266-nucleotide long non-coding RNA. RefSeq lists it as uncharacterized. The transcript is spliced from 3 exons. Lineage: Eukaryota; Metazoa; Mollusca; Gastropoda; Lepetellida; Haliotidae. The record is from RefSeq and is a predicted model, not a curated record.
UGGAGAUUUCCCUACCUUUGUCACAGAAAUGGUGGUGGUGCGUUUCUCAUUCCCUACUUUGCUGGGAUUCUCACGUGUUCCGUUCCACUUUUCUUCCUUGAGGCUUCCAUUGGCCAGUUCUCGAGCAGGAGUGCAUUAUAUGCUUGGUCCAUUUGUCCUUUGCUUAAAGGUAUUGGCAUCACUCAGGUUGCAACCUGUUUCAUAUCAUCCCUGCCUUACAACCUCAUUAUUGCCUGGUCUGUUUACUACUUGUACAAAUCAUUUUU